GGAUAGGAUCUGGAACCAACUUCCAAGAGAAGUGGUGCUGGCUCCUACCCUGGGGGUCUUUAAGGGGAGGUUAGAUGAACACCUUGCUGAGGUUGUUUGACCCCAGUAAUCUUUCCUGCCAUGGCAAGGGGUCGGACUAGAUGAUCUACUCAGGUCCCUUCUGACCCUAGAAACUAUGAAACUAUGAAACUAUGAAUUCCAGAUAUAGGUGUGUAUAGGAUCCGAAAUAAACUGCCCCCAUCCUUGGUAUCUACAUUUGUCAAAUAUUUAUAGGCUUCUAACAAGUUCUCCAGCUUCUUUAGCAUCUUAGCCAAGUUAUACAUACUUAACUCUUAAUCUUUUCUCAUAGGUCUAUACCUUCAGUGCCCUUAUUAUGAUCAUUACAAAAUCCCUCCAAUGUAGCCAUUUUUUCUGGGAAUACAAUAGAUGAAAUUGAACAUAAUGUUCCAGGCAUGGUUAUUCCAAAGAUUCCUGACAAGAUAGCCACAAAACUGCCCUGGUUAUUUUUACCAUUACAAAUAUGUUGUUUAACCUCAAGUGAGUCAAAUUCAGUCUCACAUUUCAAAAGGGUACUAUGAAACUUAACUCAGAAUUGCUUAUGAAGUUUUCAGUUACUGGAGUGAUGAACACUGAGAAAUGCCUAGAAAUGAGUAAUAGAUAUUGUCUGAGGAUGUCCAGUUUACUUUCCAGUAUUAUUCCAGGCAAGGUCACACAGCAUAGCUGCUUCCUAUACUCCUUUUCUCACAUGAACUUCUACUGGGAAAAUGUAAUCAUACAUGACAGAUUUGCCAACAUCAAUAAGGAUUAUGAUACUGCAGUGCAAGAAAUACGUGCAGGAUACGGCAAGAAAAGAGAAAAACUGAAAAUAAAAGAUCUGCAAAAGCUGAUGAAAACACAAAUUAAACUUUAAUGCCAAAGUCUGAUAUUUGUCAGAUAUAGGCCCAAACCUACCCACCCAAUGCAGAAUUUUUUUGAAGGCCUGAUAACCAUUCUACUGACCAAUACUUCAACAGCAGAGGUAAGAGAAUUGUACUAGAAAAUAAGCCAAGACUUUUCAACCUUAGAAAGAGCGCCCAGUUCAGAGAUGAGGUAAAUCAGAAUAGUCCCACCGACUACACGAUAGAGAGGCAAUCAGAGAGCUGUGACCAGGGACCUAACUACCAAUUCGCUAAGUUAAGCAAGGAACUAGCGUCAAGGCAAUCUCCCAUUUCUGCCACUAAGGUAAAUUAAUGUCCUUCUGCUAACAGAAAGACUUCUGUGAAAGUCAGGGAAUUAAAAAAUGAAGACUACCAGGGCCCUGCUACAGAAUCCAGGGCUAUGGGGCCCCAUUCAACAUAGCCAUCAGCAGCACAGGGAUGAGCGAGAGCCAUUUACUCCAUCACCGACCACACUGCUGAGUCCACCAACACAGCCACUAAUUCCACCACUGCUGUCACUUCCCCCACAGCUGCCUGGUUUAGAUCCAAAUCAGAAACUCCUGUAUUAGUGCAUAAAGCAAGGUCCAAAAAACAAAAGCAUGGGAAUAACUGAGAUUGAUAAUCCACUACUCCCAGAGAGGAAGACUGAAGGAUUCCUAUUAUCAACUAAAACUCAUCCAAAAGAUAGUUAAAAGAAACAUUGUUUCUAAAUAUGCCCUUUAUCUGAUACAAGAAAUACAUUUUUCCCAAUAACAUUCAAGUUCAUUCAGAUAUUUCUUUUCAGUUGAAUAAAAGAUUUAAUUUGACUUGAAAUUAUACCUUU
Crocodylus porosus (Australian saltwater crocodile) is the source of this 1740-nucleotide long non-coding RNA. NCBI's taxonomy places the organism in Eukaryota, Metazoa, Chordata, Crocodylia, Crocodylidae. The record is from Ensembl.